AGAGAGAGCGCGUCCGUUAGUCUAUGAGAUGCUGUAAGGUGAUUAUUGUAUCGGAGGCUCUGGAUGUAGGACCGUCUCAAAGAUGUCAUGGUGCCCUCCGUACCGUAGUUCUAAAUUCCGUCACGUCUACGUAAGGCCUCCACCAAAGACCACGGUUACCACGGAAUUCCGAUCACGCACAGCGUCCAUGACACCACUACUGCUCCGUCAACCCACUCUUCAUUGCCAUAGUAACGAAUGCUCGGGGGCGGUGCUUUCUUGGUCCUCUCCAUCCAUCACACUGGUAAAGUAGACCCCCAACACCCCAGGGUGUGUGGUCACAGUGCCAGGGUGUUGGAUGUCAAGUGGAAUCCCUUUGAUGACCACUGCAUCGCCUCCUGCUCU
Long non-coding RNA from Salvelinus sp. IW2-2015, 384 nucleotides. RefSeq lists it as uncharacterized. The record is from RefSeq and is a predicted model, not a curated record. Lineage: Eukaryota; Metazoa; Chordata; Actinopteri; Salmoniformes; Salmonidae.